RNAcentral lists this ribosomal RNA (186 nucleotides) under Saimiri sciureus (common squirrel monkey). Its description in RNAcentral is "partial 12S ribosomal RNA". It matches the Rfam family "Bacterial small subunit ribosomal RNA", at positions 1325 to 1533 of the family's 1533-position model. Lineage: Eukaryota; Metazoa; Chordata; Mammalia; Primates; Cebidae. The record is from RNAcentral.
GGUGGAUUUAGCAGUAAACCAAGAAUAGAGAGCUUGAUUGAAGCAAGGCCAUUAAGCACGCACACACCGCCCGUCACCCUCCUCAACCAUCACACAAAGUACAUUAACAACUAAGCCACUAAACACUGAUGUAGAGGGGAUAAGUCGUAACAUGGUAAGCGUACUGGAAAGUGCGCUUGGACUAAU